CCCCUGCCUUACCGCUUGGCCAAGCCGCC
Molecule: transfer RNA, 29 nt
Filed under: Gigantochloa sp. 2 CR-2013
Lineage: Eukaryota; Viridiplantae; Streptophyta; Magnoliopsida; Poales; Poaceae
Description: partial tRNA-Cys
Source: RNAcentral